This 25-nucleotide non-coding RNA is filed under the name Cricetulus griseus (Chinese hamster). Lineage: Eukaryota; Metazoa; Chordata; Mammalia; Rodentia; Cricetidae. The record is from RNAcentral.
UACAUAAGGGGUUAGCUUGACAAAG